UGAGUGAACCAGAUGAUCGCGAAGUAAUACUUUGAGGAAAGUCCGAGCUCCAAAGGGCAGGGUGCUGGGUAACGCCCAGUGGAGGCAACUCUAAGGCUAGUGCCACAGAAACAAACCGCUCUUUAAUGACAAAGUCAUUAUGAGUAAGGCUGAAAAGGUGAGGUAAGAGCUCACCAGCGAUUAGGUGACUAAUCGGCUAGGUAAACCCCAUCCGGAGCAAGGUUAAAUAGGGAAGAAGAGGCUGCCCGUCUCGUAUCACUUCCGGGUUGACCGCAUGAGAUCUUAGGUAACUGAGGUCCUAGAUAGAUGAUCAUCCACGACAGAACUCGGCUUAUCGGUUCACUCAGUUU
Molecule: RNase P RNA, 350 nt
Filed under: Bacillota bacterium
Lineage: Bacteria; Bacillati; Bacillota
Also listed under: 1 other name
Description: RNase P RNA component class A
Rfam family: Bacterial RNase P class A
About the family: Ribonuclease P (RNase P) is a ubiquitous endoribonuclease, found in archaea, bacteria and eukarya as well as chloroplasts and mitochondria.
Source: RNAcentral